UACAGAGGGGGCAAGCGUUGUUCGGAAUUACUGGGCGUAAAGCGUGCGUAGGUGGUUCGUUAAGUCUGAUGUGAAAGCCCUGGGCUCAACCUGGGAAUGGCAUUGGAUACUGGCGACCUAGAGUGCGGUAGAGGGGUGUGGAAUUCCCGGUGUAGCAGUGAAAUGCGUAGAUAUCGGGAGGAACAUCUGUGGCGAAGGCGACACCCUGGACCAGCACUGACACUGAGGCACGAAAGCGUGGGGAGCAAACAGG
RNAcentral lists this ribosomal RNA (253 nucleotides) under uncultured bacterium. RNAcentral's name for it is "partial 16S ribosomal RNA". It matches the Rfam family "Bacterial small subunit ribosomal RNA", at positions 524 to 776 of the family's 1533-position model. The record is from RNAcentral.